This 490-nucleotide ribosomal RNA is filed under the name uncultured bacterium. RNAcentral's name for it is "partial 16S ribosomal RNA". It matches the Rfam family "Bacterial small subunit ribosomal RNA", at positions 30 to 507 of the family's 1533-position model. The record is from RNAcentral.
AUUGAACGCUGGCGGCAGGCCUAACACAUGCAAGUCGAACGGUAACAGGAAACAGCUUGCUGUUUCGCUGACGAGUGGCGGACGGGUGAGUAAUGUCUGGGAAACUGCCUGAUGGAGGGGGAUAACUACUGGAAACGGUAGCUAAUACCGCAUAACGUCGCAAGACCAAAGAGGGGGACCCUCGGGCCUCUUGCCAUCGGAUGUGCCCAGAUGGGAUUAGCUUGUUGGUGGGGUAACGGCUCACCAAGGCGACGAUCCCUAGCUGGUCUGAGAGGAUGACCAGCCACACUGGAACUGAGACACGGUCCAGACUCCUACGGGAGGCAGCAGUGGGGAAUAUUGCACAAUGGGCGCAAGCCUGAUGCAGCCAUGCCGCGUGUAUGAAGAAGGCCUUCGGGUUGUAAAGUACUUUCAGCGGGGAGGAAGGGAGUAAAGUUAAUAACUUUGCUCAUUGACGUUACCCGCAGAAGAAGCACCGGCUAACUCCGUG